GACGAACGCUGGCGGCGUGCCUAAUACAUGCAAGUCGAACGCAUUUUCUUUCACCGUAGCUUGCUACACCGAAAUAAAAUGAGUGGCGAUCGGGUGAGUAUCACGUUGGUAACCUGCCCAUCAGCGGGGUAUAACACUUGCCAACAUGUGCUAAUACCUCAUACUUCCAUUUACCGCAUGGUAUAUAGAUGAAAGUCGCUUUUUCGUCACUGAUGGAUGGACCCGCGGUGCAUUAGCGAGUUGGUGGGGUAACGGCCUACCAAGGGUGCGAUGCAUAGCCGACCUGAGAGGGUGAGAGGAGACACUGGGACUGAGACACGGCCAAGACUACUACGGGAGGGAGCAGUAGGGAAUCUUCGGCAAUGGAAGCAAGUCUGACCGAGCAACGCCGCGUGAGUGAAGAAGGUAGUCGGAUCGUAAAACUCGGUUGUUGGAGAAGAACAAGGAGGAGAGUGGAAAGUUAAGCCCAUGACGGUAUCGAACCAGAAAGCCACGGCUAACUACGUG
Molecule: ribosomal RNA, 507 nt
Filed under: uncultured bacterium
Lineage: Bacteria
Description: partial 16S ribosomal RNA
Rfam family: Bacterial small subunit ribosomal RNA
Source: RNAcentral